This 336-nucleotide ribosomal RNA is filed under the name Triticum aestivum (bread wheat). RNAcentral's name for it is "partial small subunit ribosomal RNA". Lineage: Eukaryota; Viridiplantae; Streptophyta; Magnoliopsida; Poales; Poaceae. The record is from RNAcentral.
AUGCCAGUGAGGAUUUUGCCGUCAGCACGCCCGAGCCGUGUUCCGUGGUUCCUCGCGACACUCUUGUUGGUGGCGGCGGUUGGCUCGCUGCUGCUGGAAGGGGGCGCGCCGGGAUCCUCGGAAAUAAGCUCGAUGUUUCCCCUAGUAUGCAAGAAUCCCCUUCGCUUGCUUUCGCCGACGGCAGUCACCAUGGUGGCGGUCAAUUUGAUAGGGACUGGUAUGAAGACGGUUCUUGCGACCGGUUCCCAGAGCAAAUCAUCGAUGGUGCUUGAGCAUGGGCGCUCUAGGCGGUCAGCCGGCUUGCAGCGCGGCCGUGCCACCGAAUCCUCUGGCUGA